UCUUGGAUGGGAACAUGUCUGGCUGAGAUAAGGAGACCUACUCGGGAGACAGUGGUGCAGGAACUCGGUGUUCCGGAGGCACUGGGCGGGUCCUUUUCCUAGCCAUAGCCACGCUGAGGGCUGCAGGUCUCUUAGCCCUCACUCUAGAUGCCAAGAGCAACCACAGAGACUUCUGGAUGCGUGUGACCCUGGAGAAGGUGUUCUGGGUGAAGAAGGUCCUGGACGGAGGACUGGGCACUCACGCUCUGCAUCUUGGCCUCAGUGUCCACAAUGUUCCUUUCCACCUGGUCCGCAUUCUUCUGCAGCUGCUCAAUCAGGUCUGAGAGUUCCUUGUUGGAGAUGCUGUGGACAGAAGGAACAGAGAUGUGGGACUCAGUGUGCUGCCAAUAUGCAUGGUCCAGUAAAUUAGCAAAGAUACUGAGGAUGAACUGCCCCUUGCUGCCCUGACUGCCUCAUGCAAAAAGACUGCCAGUCAGACAGGAUAGCAGGAUUGCCCUUCUGCUGGCUCUGUCUCCUGCACUCCAUGGACACCUUAAAUAAACUACAUGACAACCACAGCUUGUCAUCAUGGCUCCUGAAGGCAGCUGGAGUCAGAACUUUUUGA
Molecule: long non-coding RNA, 604 nt
Organism: Meriones unguiculatus (Mongolian gerbil)
Lineage: Eukaryota; Metazoa; Chordata; Mammalia; Rodentia; Muridae
Exons: 3
Source: RefSeq, a predicted model, not a curated record